GAUGAAGAACGCAGCGAAAUGCGAUAAGUAGUGUGAAUUGCAGAAUUCAGUGAAUCAUCGAAUCUUUGAACGCACAUUGCGCCCCUCGGUAUUCCGUGGGGCAUGCCUGUUCGAGCGUCAUUUACCCCUCAAGCACUGCUUGGUGUUGGGCGUCUGUCCCGCUUCGCGCGCGGACUCGCCCCAAAGGUAUUGGCAGCGGUCGUGCCAGCUUCUCGCGCAGCACAUUGCGCUUCUCGAGGCGAUCGAUCGGCGUCCACGAAGCUCACCUCCACCGUUUGACCUCGGAUCAGGUAGGGAUACCCGCUGAACUUAAGCAUAUCAAUAAGCGGAGGA
Molecule: unclassified non-coding RNA, 333 nt
Filed under: soil metagenome
Description: partial contains 5.8S ribosomal RNA, internal transcribed spacer 2, and large subunit ribosomal RNA
Rfam family: 5.8S ribosomal RNA (bases 1-120)
Source: RNAcentral